This 490-nucleotide ribosomal RNA is filed under the name uncultured Methanosaeta sp. RNAcentral's name for it is "bacterial SSU rRNA". It matches the Rfam family "Archaeal small subunit ribosomal RNA", at positions 852 to 1338 of the family's 1478-position model. Lineage: Archaea; Methanobacteriati; Methanobacteriota; Methanomicrobia; Methanotrichales; Methanotrichaceae. The record is from RNAcentral.
AAACUUAAAGGAAGUUGACGGGGAGCACUACAACGGGUGGAGCCUGUCGGUUUAAUUGGAUUCAACGCCGGAAAUCGUCACCGGGGGCGACAGCAAUAUGAAGGUCAGGCUGAAGACCUUUACCCGAUUAGCUGAGAGGUGGUGCAUGGCCGUCGUCAGUUCGUACUGUGAAGCAUCCUGUUAAGUCAGGCAACGAGCGAGACCCACGUCCACAGUUGCCAGCAUACCCUCCGGGGUGAUGGGUACACUGUGGAGACCGCCGCUGCUAAAGCGGAGGAAGGAGUGGGCAACGGUAGGUCAGUAUGCCCCGAAUCUCCCGGGCUACACGCGGGCUACAAUGGUUGGUACAAUGGGCAUCUACCCCGAAAGGGGAAGGAAAUCUCUUAAAGCCAAUCGUAGUUCGGAUUGAGGGCUGCAACUCGCCCUCAUGAAGCUGGAAUCCGUAGUAAUCGCGUUUCAACAGAACGCGGUGAAUACGUCCCUGCUCCUU